CCCUUGGUCAUUUAGAGGAAGUAAAAGUCGUAACAAGGUCUCCGUUGGUGAACCAGCGGAGGGAUCAUUACCGAGUUUACAACUCCCAAACCCCAAUGUGAACGUUACCAAUCUGUUGCCUCGGCGGGAUUCUCUUGCCCCGGGCGCGUCGCAGCCCCGGAUCCCAUGGCGCCCGCCGGAGGACCAACUCCAAACUCUUUUUUCUCUCCGUCGCGGCUCCCGUCGCGGCUCUGUUUUAUUUUUGCUCUGAGCCUUUCUCGGCGACCCUAGCGGGCGUCUCGAAAAUGAAUCAAAACUUUCAACAACGGAUCUCUUGGUUCUGGCAUCGAUGAAGAACGCAGCGAAAUGCGAUAAGUAAUGUGAAUUGCAGAAUUCAGUGAAUCAUCGAAUCUUUGAACGCACAUUGCGCCCGCCAGUAUUCUGGCGGGCAUGCCUGUCCGAGCGUCAUUUCAACCCUCGAACCCCUCCGGGGGGUCGGCGUUGGGGAUCGGCCCCUCACCGGGCCGCCCCCGAAAUACAGUGGCGGUCUCGCCGCAGCCUCUCCUGCGCAGUAGUUUGCACACUCGCACCGGGAGCGCGGCGCGGCCACAGCCGUAAAACACCCCAAACUUCUGAAAUGUUGACCUCGGAUCAGGUAGGAAUACCCGCUGAACUUAAGCAUAUCAAUAAGCGGAGGAAAA
This 680-nucleotide unclassified non-coding RNA is filed under the name Trichoderma longibrachiatum. Its description in RNAcentral is "sequence contains 18S rRNA gene, ITS1, 5.8S rRNA gene, ITS2". The stretch from base 294 to 447 matches the Rfam family "5.8S ribosomal RNA". The record is from RNAcentral. Lineage: Eukaryota; Fungi; Ascomycota; Sordariomycetes; Hypocreales; Hypocreaceae.